This 508-nucleotide ribosomal RNA is filed under the name uncultured glomeraceous AM fungus. Its description in RNAcentral is "SSU rRNA". It matches the Rfam family "Eukaryotic small subunit ribosomal RNA", at positions 569 to 1078 of the family's 1831-position model. Lineage: Eukaryota; Fungi; Glomeromycota; Glomeromycetes; Glomerales; Glomeraceae. The record is from RNAcentral.
AGCAGCCGCGGUAAUUCCAGCUCCAAUAGCGUAUAUUAAAGUUGUUGCAGUUAAAAAGCUCGUAGUUGAAUUUCGGGGUUAGUAGGUUGGUCAUGCCUCUGGUAUGUACUGGUCUCACUGAUUCCUCCUUCCUGAUGAAUCUUAAUGCCAUUAAUUUGGUGUUUUGGGGAAUUUGGACUGUUACUUUGAAAAAAUUAGAGUGUUUAAAGCAAGCUAACGCUUGAAUACAUUAGCAUGGAAUAAUGAAAUAGGACGUUCGAUCCUAUUUUGUUGGUUUCUAGGAUUGACGUAAUGAUUAAUAGGGAUAGUUGGGGGCAUUAGUAGUCAAUUGUCAGAGGUGAAAUUCUUGGAUUUAUUGAAGACUAACUACUGCGAAAGCAUUUGCCAAGGAUGUUUUCAUUAAUCAAGAACGAAAGUUAGGGGAUCGAAGACGAUCAGAUACCGUCGUAGUCUUAACCAUAAACUAUGCCGACUAGGGAUCGGAUGAUGUUAAUUUUUUAAUGACUCA